GACGAACGCUGGCGGCGUGCUUAACACAUGCAAGUCGAACGGAAAGGCUCCAGCUUGCUGGAGUACUCGAGUGGCGAACGGGUGAGUAACACGUGGGUGAUCUGCCCUGCACUUCGGGAUAGGCCUGGGAAACUGGGCCUAAUACCGGAUAGGACGGCACUUUGGUGUGUGUGGUGGAAAGGUUUUUCUGGUGUGGGAUGAGCUCGCGGCCUAUCAGUUUGUUGGUGGGGUAAUGGCCUACCAAGACGGCGACGGGUAGCCGGCCUGAGAGGGUGGACGGUCACAUUGGGACUGAGAUACGGCCCAGACUCCUACGGGAGGCAGCAGUGGGGAAUAUUGCACAAUGGGGGAAACCCUGAUGCAGCGACGCCGCGUGGGGGAUGAAGGCCUUCGGGUUGUAAACUCCUUUCGCUAGGGACGAAGCUUUUUGUGACGGUACCUGGAGAAGAAGCACCGGCUAACUACGUG
This 468-nucleotide ribosomal RNA is filed under the name uncultured bacterium. Its description in RNAcentral is "partial 16S ribosomal RNA". It matches the Rfam family "Bacterial small subunit ribosomal RNA", at positions 28 to 507 of the family's 1533-position model. The record is from RNAcentral.